Molecule: long non-coding RNA, 398 nt
Organism: Monopterus albus (swamp eel)
Lineage: Eukaryota; Metazoa; Chordata; Actinopteri; Synbranchiformes; Synbranchidae
Exons: 3
Source: RefSeq, a predicted model, not a curated record
GUGCUAAAAUGCUCAUGUUUAUACUGCUUACCAUAUUCACCAUCUUAGUUAAGCAUGUUAGCAUUAUUACAUGGGAUGAAGCCUGUUGCCCACAUACAGCUCACAGCAAUGCACACGGUUCAGUUGAUUGGUUAGACCACCACUUUGGUCAAGACUGAAAAGCGUUACGAUGCAGCAGAAGAGGCGAGCCCAUUAGCAAGUCAACCAGCUGUGGUGGACGGUUGGGUUAUGCAUCAUUUGCCUGGAGUAGAGAUGGCCUCAGGAAGCACUAGGGGAAUAAGGCAAACUGGUGGAGCAACCUUCCACCACGACCAGCCCAGGAGUAAGUCCCAGCGUCUGCAGCCCGGCCUUUCCCUCAUCAUUCCACCACUGACUGUUAUUCACCUUCUGCGGCUCGA